Megalobrama amblycephala (Wuchang bream) is the source of this 236-nucleotide long non-coding RNA. RefSeq lists it as uncharacterized. The transcript has 3 exons. NCBI's taxonomy places the organism in Eukaryota, Metazoa, Chordata, Actinopteri, Cypriniformes, Xenocyprididae. The record is from RefSeq and is a predicted model, not a curated record.
CUCACUACUUAAGUUCCUUCCUCUCUGUUGUUCUUUGUCUGGUCUCGUCAGUUUUAUGCCCUUCAUGUUUGGAUUUAUGGUGUGGACUCCACUUUGAAAUCUCUAAUCAUCGUACAAUGCUCUCAACCCAAGUAAACACUUGAGGAAAGGCACUGCUGGUGUUUCUCUAUAUUUGGGCCUGAUCCUGUGAGCUGAUGGAAGUGAAGGAGGAGAGUGAAGAACUGAGUGAAGUGGAG